RNAcentral lists this ribosomal RNA (489 nucleotides) under uncultured bacterium. RNAcentral describes it as "bacterial SSU rRNA". It matches the Rfam family "Bacterial small subunit ribosomal RNA", at positions 29 to 513 of the family's 1533-position model. The record is from RNAcentral.
AGUGAACGCUGGCGGCAUGCCUUACACAUGCAAGUCGAACGGUAACAGGCCUUCGGGUGCUGACGAGCGGCGAACGGGUGAGUAAUGCAUCGGAACAUGCCUAUUUGUGGGGGAUAGCCCGGCGAAAGCCGGAUUAAUACCGCAUACGAUCUAAGGAUGAAAGCUGGGGACCGCAAGGCCUAGCGCAAAUAGAGUGGCCGAUGUCAGAUUAGCUAGUUGGUGGGGUAAAGGCCCACCAAGGCAACGAUCUGUAGCUGGUUUGAGAGAACGACCAGCCACACUGGGACUGAGACACGGCCCAGACUCCUACGGGAGGCAGCAGUGGGGAAUUUUGGACAAUGGGCGCAAGCCUGAUCCAGCAAUGCCGCGUGCAGGAUGAAGGCCUUCGGGUUGUAAACGUGCUUUUGUACGGAGCGAAAAGGCUUCUUCUAAUACAGGAGGCUCAUGACGGUACCGUAAGAAUAAGCACCGGCUAACUACGUGCCAGCA